Canis lupus familiaris (dog) is the source of this 105-nucleotide non-coding RNA. NCBI's taxonomy places the organism in Eukaryota, Metazoa, Chordata, Mammalia, Carnivora, Canidae. The record is from Rfam.
AGGAGCAACAGCCCUAGUGGCGGGGCCAGCUCUGGAGCCCUGGAUUCAGCCCCCGCAGGAACUCCGGAGCUCUCGGUCUGCAGGGCCUGGAGGCUCCGGGGCGGG